CUUAGCUAGCAUGCAGCAUAAUGCACAAUCGGAAAAAAGUCCGCCUCGGGUUCCUGAGGAGCACAUUUACUCGCGUCUUUCCUCCGCGAGUCUCAGAACAUCAUGGCUGCCCUGACGUCACUCCCGGUUCCAAUAACGCAUCUAACCGCCAGACAUCACACCAACACGCUCUCCUGAAAACCCUCAACAUUCUGUAAAACUCCAAAUCCACGAGGCGCACGGAAUUUUAGACCUUGGAAAUAUUUUCACACCGCACAGGCAUCCAAGCCGUAGAGUACAACAAUUUCCUUCCUACGCCAAUUGCAUAAUUGACAUCACUGCCUCUCACAUGGCAGUGUUUGUGUUUGGGUGUAAAUAGUGCUCUCCAAAGACCUGGGGAUCAAUUCUCCUGCAAAGUCACCCUUUUUCGCGGAUUCCAUCCCAUUCUUGGUAGGGAAUGCUGUAGAAUAUAGCUGCAGUGUUAUUAGUCAAAAUUUGACCUCAACAUGUCAGAAGAACAGAGAAGUGGUGGAGAAAACAGCUCCAGCACAAAACCAGCCAGUCAUACACUUAAACCAAACUACAUACUAAAAUACACACUUUCUGGGCAUUCUAAAGCAGUUUCGUCAGUCAAGUUCAGCCCAACAGGAGAUUGGCUAGCAAGUUCCUGUAAGUGAUUUUUUAAAUCUUUUGAAAUGGCUAAGGUAAAAGUAUAUACAUAAUGUUAUCACAUAGAUUGUUAUACAGUAAUCUCUUUCUCUUAUUUUCUUUCUCUUUUUCUUUCUUUCAGAAUUAGUUAAUUAUUACCUUGCGACCUUAGGUGAUUUGAAUUGGCGGGAAAAACGUAUUUUUUUACUAUUGCUAUGAAUAUCGAUGGUGUUAUUUUUAUUAUAAACAUUACAAUUAUUA
Molecule: long non-coding RNA, 888 nt
Organism: Penaeus chinensis
Lineage: Eukaryota; Metazoa; Arthropoda; Malacostraca; Decapoda; Penaeidae
Exons: 3
Source: RefSeq, a predicted model, not a curated record